RNAcentral lists this transfer RNA (72 nucleotides) under Colletotrichum caudatum. RNAcentral's name for it is "tRNA-Trp". It matches the Rfam family "tRNA". From Rfam's summary of the family: Transfer RNA (tRNA) molecules are approximately 80 nucleotides in length. Their secondary structure includes four short double-helical elements and three loops (D, anti-codon, and T loops). Further hydrogen bonds mediate the characteristic L-shaped molecular structure. tRNAs have two regions of fundamental functional importance: the anti-codon, which is responsible for specific mRNA codon recognition, and the 3' end, to which the tRNAs corresponding amino acid is attached (by aminoacyl-tRNA synthetases). tRNAs cope with the degeneracy of the genetic code in two manners: having more than one tRNA (with a specific anti-codon) for a particular amino acid; and 'wobble' base-pairing, i.e. permitting non-standard base-pairing at the 3rd anti-codon position. Lineage: Eukaryota; Fungi; Ascomycota; Sordariomycetes; Glomerellales; Glomerellaceae. The record is from RNAcentral. RNAcentral also lists the same sequence under 1 other name.
GGGGGCGUGGCGCAAUGGUAGCGCGUCUGAUUCCAGUCCAGAAGGUUGCCUGUUCGAGUCAGGUCGUCCUCA